This 406-nucleotide ribosomal RNA is filed under the name uncultured bacterium. RNAcentral's name for it is "bacterial SSU rRNA". It matches the Rfam family "Bacterial small subunit ribosomal RNA", at positions 29 to 461 of the family's 1533-position model. The record is from RNAcentral.
AGCGAACGCUGGCGGCAGGCUUAACACAUGCAAGUCGAACGGGCGUAGCAAUACGUCAGUGGCAGACGGGUGAGUAACGCGUGGGAACGUACCUUUUGGUUCGGAACAACCCAGGGAAACUUGGGCUAAUACCGGAUAAGCCCUUACGGGGAAAGAUUUAUCGCCGAAAGAUCGGCCCGCGUCUGAUUAGCUAGUUGGUGUGGUAACGGCGCACCAAGGCGACGAUCUGUAACCGGCCUGAGAGGGCGGCGGUCACACUGACAUUGACAUACGGGUCAGACUCCUACGGGAGGCAGCAGUCGGGAAUUUUGGGCAAUGGGCGAAAGCCUGACCCAGCAACGCCGCGUGAAGGAUGAAAUCCCUCGGGAUGUAAACUUCGCAAGAACGGGAAGAAUAAGUGAAAGUU